Lacerta agilis (Sand lizard) is the source of this 546-nucleotide long non-coding RNA. RefSeq lists it as uncharacterized. The transcript has 4 exons. NCBI's taxonomy places the organism in Eukaryota, Metazoa, Chordata, Lepidosauria, Squamata, Lacertidae. The record is from RefSeq and is a predicted model, not a curated record.
CACUUGCCCAAAGAACUGGUUGAAGCGCGAAGGAAACUGUUAUGGCUACUUCAAGGAACCUGUGACCUUUGCGCAGGCUAAGGAGAAAUGCAAAAGGGAACAUCACGGUGACCUAGCCUCCUUCCAUAGCAAGCAAGAAGUCUGUGCAAUUGCGAAAUUUGUUGCUGGAUUCAAGGACAACAAAGAUGUUUGGAUAGGUCUCCACGAUCCUCAAAAGGAUAAUGUAUGGUAUUGGACUGAUUCCACCAGGGUUAACUUAUAUGCUUGGCUGAAUGACGAAGACAGAGAGGAUGAACACUGUGGGCUGUUGCUCCACGACACAGAUUACAUUUCAUGGGACAGCAGAAAUUGUGAAACCAAGAGCCCCUACCUUUGUAGAUCGACACCACAAAUUAUCGUUACUGACUGCUAACAAGGAGGAACCCUGGUUGGCUGUCUAGAAGAACCUGCACCCAGAGGGAUGUCAACUCCUUCCAUGACUGCUAAACUCACCUGCUACUCAUCUAUGGGCUGAAAUCCCAAAUAAACAGUAGAACUUGCAACUCU